GUAGUUAGCCGGGGCUUCCUCCUUGGCUACCGUCAUUCUUUUCGUCACCAAGGACAGAGGUUUACAACCCGAAGGCCUUCUUCCCUCACGCGGCGUUGCUGGGUCAGGCUUUCGCCCAUUGCCCAAUAUUCCCCACUGCUGCCUCCCGUAGGAGUCUGGACCGUGUCUCAGUUCCAGUGUGGCCGUUCAGCCUCUCAGCUCGGCUACCCAUCGUCGACUAGGUGGGCCGUUACCCCGCCUACUAUCUAAUGGGACGCGAGCCCCUCCCUCUGCGGAUUGCUCCUUUGACCUCAUCCCGAUGCCGGGUCGUGGUCUUAUGCGGUAUUAGCAUCUGUUUCCAAAUGUUAUCCCCCUCAAAGGGUCAGGUUGCUCACGCGUUACUCACCCGUUCGCCACUAGGCAUAAAACCGAAAUCUUAUGCCCCGUUCGACUUGCAUGUGUUAGGCACGCCGCCACGCGUUCGUCCUACGACCACGAUACAACUACUCGA
Molecule: ribosomal RNA, 490 nt
Filed under: uncultured bacterium
Lineage: Bacteria
Description: partial 16S ribosomal RNA
Source: RNAcentral